Phyllostomus discolor (pale spear-nosed bat) is the source of this 335-nucleotide long non-coding RNA. RefSeq lists it as uncharacterized. The transcript is spliced from 2 exons. Lineage: Eukaryota; Metazoa; Chordata; Mammalia; Chiroptera; Phyllostomidae. The record is from RefSeq and is a predicted model, not a curated record.
AUAAGUGCCAGCCCAUAGUAGGUGCUCAGCAAACAGUCACUGAAUAAUUGAAUGGAGCCUCCACAGGCCUUUGGAAUGAAGUGCUUGCCCACUGGCCAGUGCCACUAGAUAAGCGUCUUUUAUUAGUGAUCAGAGGUGCAGUGUGUGUGUGUGGAGAGAGAGAGUGAGAGAGAGAUCUAAGGUACAGGGAUCUAAGAGAUCUCCCUCUUUCUAGAUAACUCCACCCAGUUCCACUCUCUUUUGAGGGUCUGGGUGAGAAAGGGAGGCAGCCGGACACCCUGGUUUGUCGAGUUUGGACAAGUUAGCGUCAAUAUCCUAAUGUCUAAAAUGGUGAU